RNAcentral lists this ribosomal RNA (828 nucleotides) under Staphylococcus aureus. RNAcentral describes it as "partial 23S ribosomal RNA". It matches the Rfam family "Bacterial large subunit ribosomal RNA", at positions 1565 to 2393 of the family's 2925-position model. Lineage: Bacteria; Bacillati; Bacillota; Bacilli; Caryophanales; Staphylococcaceae. The record is from RNAcentral.
AUGGGGAGAAGACAUUGUGUCUUCGAGUCGUUGAUUUCACACUGCCGAGAAAAGCCUCUAGAUAGAAAAUAGGUGCCCGUACCGCAAACCGACACAGGUAGUCAAGAUGAGAAUUCUAAGGUGAGCGAGCGAACUCUCGUUAAGGAACUCGGCAAAAUGACCCCGUAACUUCGGGAGAAGGGGUGCUCUUUAGGGUUAACGCCCAGAAGAGCCGCAGUGAAUAGGCCCAAGCGACUGUUUAUCAAAAACACAGGUCUCUGCUAAACCGUAAGGUGAUGUAUAGGGGCUGACGCCUGCCCGGUGCUGGAAGGUUAAGAGGAGUGGUUAGCUUCUGCGAAGCUACGAAUCGAAGCCCCAGUAAACGGCGGCCGUAACUAUAACGGUCCUAAGGUAGCGAAAUUCCUUGUCGGGUAAGUUCCGACCCGCACGAAAGGCGUAACGAUUUGGGCACUGUCUCAACGAGAGACUCGGUGAAAUCAUAGUACCUGUGAAGAUGCAGGUUACCCGCGACAGGACGGAAAGACCCCGUGGAGCUUUACUGUAGCCUGAUAUUGAAAUUCGGCACAGCUUGUACAGGAUAGGUAGGAGCCUUUGAAACGUGAGCGCUAGCUUACGUGGAGGCGCUGGUGGGAUACUACCCUAGCUGUGUUGGCUUUCUAACCCGCACCACUUAUCGUGGUGGGAGACAGUGUCAGGCGGGCAGUUUGACUGGGGCGGUCGCCUCCUAAAAGGUAACGGAGGCGCUCAAAGGUUCCCUCAGAAUGGUUGGAAAUCAUUCAUAGAGUGUAAAGGCAUAAGGGAGCUUGACUGCGAGACCUACAAGUCGAG